CAUUCACUUGAUGCCAAAGAAAGAUGAACUAAAGAAAGAAUCCAUAAAGACUGGGAAAGCUUCUAAAAUGCAAUCCCAGAAAAGGGAUUAUGAAGCACAGUCCCAAAAGGUCCAUCUAAGGCUGAGGCACCUAAACAGUGACUAAAGCUCAGCUUUACUGUUAGCCUGUAGGCUCAAUUCUGGAUCCCUUAUGUAUUCAUGGAAGAUUUAUUGCAAUAAGUACUGUCAGUCUGUAUAAUAAAUUCUCUCUUAUUUUGUGCAGGCCUACAUCAGAUAAAAAGCAAAGUGGCAUAAAGAAGGCAAAACCUGUAAAGCAGCCACCAAAGACUGGGACAGCCGCUAAGGCAAAGCCCCAGAAAGUGAAAGGUGCAACUAAAUCUUCAGCACCUAACAAGAAAAAACCAGUUACAAAGUUAAGCAGCAAAAUUGCCAAACGGACAACAAUGACUGGCAAAGCGGCAAUGACUGGCAAAGCGGCAAUGACUGGCAAAGCGGCUAGCUUAUCAUCGAAGAAGAACUUACCAAAGGCCAAGAAAACCAAGAAAUGAGAUACAAUAAGGACUUAAUGAGGUGGAAAAGUGGGCGGAGGAGGGUUCAGGAUUCUACAACAACCUGAGAAAUGAGAGAUACACUUUAAUUUCAUCUUUGUUACUCAGACUUGACUUAUCGACGUUGAAGAGGAGGUUAAAGUGGGCGGAGGUGGGUUUAGGGUGCGACAAACACCCGUGACUAUUGAUGUAACUGAGGCUAGCCAAAUAUUCUUAAGCUGGCCUUGACCAACAAGUAGUUACAUCAAAGUCAAGAAGAGAAAUUUGCUUUGUCAGAAGAAACCAAAAGCAUCAGGCAGCGCUUUGAUGGACCAGACUGACAAGAACUAAUAACCCUGCAAAGAAGAUAGGAAACAUCCCCAGGACGUGCAGGACCUUCUCACUACAGUAUUGAAGACACUUUAUAGAAGAGAAGACUUCACCUUCAGUUGCCCCCCAGCAACUUUAGGAGAUGAAAUUCCUUUAUUUGUUCUCAAACUGGAAAUUCAUCUGUUCUAGUGCAGACCAUGAUACUGUUGUGAGAAAUAACUUGAAAUAAAAGAUAUUCGAUUAAA
Molecule: long non-coding RNA, 1102 nt
Organism: Xenopus tropicalis (tropical clawed frog)
Lineage: Eukaryota; Metazoa; Chordata; Amphibia; Anura; Pipidae
Exons: 3
Source: RefSeq, a predicted model, not a curated record